Molecule: non-coding RNA, 30 nt
Filed under: Homo sapiens (human)
Lineage: Eukaryota; Metazoa; Chordata; Mammalia; Primates; Hominidae
Source: RNAcentral
UCCCACCACACUUGACUCUGUGGUUGCCUU